UGGGCGUGUGUUCGAUCAGAAGAAGAGAAAGAAAAGGGGUCAAACCCUAGAACACCAAAAUCUAUCAAAUUGAAAGGGGAAUUGAAGCCUAGUUGAAUGCAUGAACUAAGAAUGAUGAUCAUCUAAGCAUACCCAACAUCAAGAAACCCCAAAUUGGCAUGGACUCAAGUAUGGAAGGCUAACGGAUCAAGAGGAAAUGAGGAAGCUAUGCACAAACUUGGAUGCACGAGGUAAGUGAUUCCGUAAUCACUUCUUAGUAUGUUUAAGUAAUGUAGCGUUUUAAUUAAUUAAUUAAACAUGAUGUCUAAAGUCAAAUGUGGCUUAGGAUGUAUGAAAUUAGUGGAUUUCAUUAAGUAGACCAAUGGGUCAAAUUAAGGUCUUAUGAUUAUGGUGAAAUGUUGCAUAAGAUAUGGCUACCGUACUAUAACUGGUUAAUGGGUAGAAUUGCUUGUAAGUACGUGAUCCGGGAAUCGGAGAUGCGGUUUAAUGGUCAACAUAAUCAGAGGUGGGUUUGGUUUAAUAGAUAAACCAUUAUGUAAGUGGAGGUUUUAGUAACGAAGUUUGAUUCGUAGACUUAAAUGAAAUGAAUGAGUUUAACGAAUACCGGGUAUUGGGUGUGUAAACCCCAAGUACGAAACUCCGGAUAAAGUAAAAGUAUUAUGAUUAUAAUGUUCAUGUAUGUUUUGGGAUAAAACAAAUGAGUGGUUUGAUGAAAACAUGAACGGGUCGAAUAAUUAGAAAAUGACUAUUAAGUCGAAAGCGCGUAAGUUAAGAAUUUCCUUUAACCGAAAGUGGGAUAUGAAGUCCAUAUGAUAGAGGGUUAAAUUACGAUCACGUAGGAAAAAGAAUCGGGUAAAUCGGAUAAAAAAUGAGAGAGUUAUGUCCGUUUUGGUAAGAAUUAAUGGCUGGGAAAAGUGCAGAGCUAACACGGCCGGGUGGUGAGUUGACACGGCCGGGGGAAGGUUCUGUCAAAAAUAUUAUUUAUGUGAUUUAUGCAUCGUAGGCUUCAGUAUAUUAUCCGUGGACUACGGUGGGCCUCCCAAACAUGAUUUCGAGUGUUCCCUUGACGAUUAUAAGUUGUAAACCCAAGUCUAAGCCUCAUGUAAUUUAUAUAAGAGUAUGAUAGAUGUAUGUAAUGAAGUUGGACAUGCAUUACAUGUAAAUGGUAUACAAGAAUGCGUACGGAACACGUAGGUAUGAAUACAUGAUUGUAGGUAUGAUUGAAUGUAUAUUAGGUAUGUAGAUGUGUAUGAUUGUAAGUAUGUAUGUGUUCAAGUAUGUGCGAAUGCAUGAUUUGGAUGCAUUUGAGAAUUAACGUUACUAACAAUUCCCUUGAGUUUGGGAUGUAAUGCAGGAAUGAGAAUGUCGGAUUCUUAUGAAGUCGAAGCCGAACUCGGAACAAGAGACUUAGAGAGAAUAGUCGAAUGAAUCGAAGCUAUAUUGUCGAACAUUAUACGAAAGUUAAUUGUGUGAGAAUAUUGUUGUAUGAGGUUGUUAAUGACUAAUGAUUAAGUUGUAUGUGAUAUUCACAGGUACCAUAUGGAUUUCUUCUUCUACUAACAAAGAUGAGCGGACGAGGAUCGAGUCAAGAGCAAGGAUUGUACGGGAAGGAUCGGUCACAUAGUUUAACAAAUGUAGGUCCAAAGUAUUAAUAUAAUGGAACGUGGUAAAUACUUUUUAAUGAGUGUAUGACAUUGGUAUUCGAACUUUCCUGUAAGUACUAUGUCUAUUAAAGAACGAAAUUUUGGGUUCAUAUUUUCCGCUGUGUUGUAUUUUUAAGUUUUUACAAGUUAGUCUUACAGGGAAUUGUUCAUAAUACGAACGGGUCAUGCCCAAUUUUUGUUAAAUUAUAGUAUGAUAAUAUCACAUUUAGGAAGGUGAAACCUUGGGUGUUUCAAGUUGGUAUCAGAGCCAUGGUUUGAGUGAAAUCAAGUAGAAGGAGGUAAAUACUUGAACUCAAACGGUGUGCUCUCGUGACCAAGAACCCGUACAAUCCAAGACUCGAUCAAGGCCUAAAGGCAAAAGCGAAUGUAAGUAUGUAUUAGAUUAUGUAUUUGAAGGAAACUAAUAGUAUUUUAUGUGAAGGGUAAGCACAAUGGUUUGGAAGGGAGAAUCCGUGAAUGCGGUCUAGGACCGACAUCAAGGUGCCAGUACAAGAUCUACAGAUAAUUAUGACCCUGGAGCAGGUAUAUGGACACUGUCCUAAGGUCACAGGCUCCUAGAAGUUUAUUAUUGCCUCGCUUCCCUAGCACGCUAGUAGCUUAAACACCUGUCACAUACGUUAAAAUAAAAGUCAAAACAUAUAAUGUAAAGGUGAGUACACAAGUUUGAUAUAGCAUAUAAAGUUCGAAAGUUUACGC
Molecule: long non-coding RNA, 2360 nt
Filed under: Helianthus annuus (common sunflower)
Lineage: Eukaryota; Viridiplantae; Streptophyta; Magnoliopsida; Asterales; Asteraceae
Description: hypothetical non coding rna
Source: RNAcentral